CCAAAACGCAGGGGGAGGGAGAGGGGAAGAGAGAAUGGAUAGUCUUGCCGUGCUCGGGAGAAGCCCCUGCGCUCUAUCCGGAACCCUUCAAUCUCGGAGCCAUGGAGUCUCUUCGUUCCCCCGCGGGGCGCAAGCCCUCGCCUUCCCCUCCCACCGCCACCUCGCCGCGCUCCCGCCGUCGCCGUUCCUCUCCCUCUCGUCUGGCGCCGCCGGCGCCAAAGCGCGCGCCCGGAGGACCGGAACCCGCAUCUUUAUUCCCCACCUCGUCGCCGCCAUGGAAGAGGUCGAGGAGACUUAUAUCAUGGUAAAACCCGACGGUGUUCAACGUGGCCUGGUGGGAGAAAUUAUUUCUCGGUUCGAGAAGAAGGGAUUUUUGCUGAAGGGCUUAAAGCUUUUCCAAUGCCCCAAGGAGUUAGCUGAGGAGCAUUACAAGGAUCUGAAGGACAAGUCUUUCUUUCCUAAGCUGAUAGACUACAUCACCUCUGGCCCUGUUGUUUGUAUGGCUUGGGAGGGUGUUGGUGUUGUUGCAUCAGCUCGCAAGCUUAUAGGAUCAACCAAUCCUCUUCAGGCUGAACCAGGCACCAUACGAGGUGAUUUGGCAGUUCAAACUGGCAGGAAUGUUGUUCAUGGAAGUGAUAGCCCUGAGAAUGGCAAGCGUGAAAUUGCCCUAUGGUUCAAAGAAGGUGAACUAUGUUCAUGGGUACCAGUUCAAGCACCUUGGCUUAGAGACAUGGUUUCAUGCAAUUCCAUCCUGCGGCUUUUAUGAAGGAGGCUAUAAUGACCUCAAUGAGAGCACAAGUUGAUAAGUCUUUCAAUUCCAUGCUGCUUCUUUAUCGGCCUUGUCAUUGCAUUAGCUCGAGCAAGAUUUGAGAUUGAACUUUCUUUGCAUCACCAUACCUUUGCCAUUCUGAUCCAUGGACUCUAAUUAAGGCCUUUUGAGGAACAGGGAUGUGGUUUACAUAUUGUACUAUGCAUCACAAAUUAAUUCAAGCCACAUAUGCCAAUGCGCAAAUAAUUUGAAGCAGUUGUAUGCAUGUCAUAGCAUUUAUAUCAAAAUAUUUGUUGGUUAGGUUCAGUCUUUCAUAGCUCAGUAACUUUCCUUGAGCAGUGGAAGGCAUUACUUGUGUUGCGCCGAAUAAUUUGAAGCGGUUGCAUGAAUGCUAAGAGUAUUUGUCUCAAAAUUUGAUGUUGGUUAGGUUCAGCCUUUCAUAGCUCAGUAACUUUCCUUGAGCAGUGGAAGGCAUUACUUAACCAUGUUUUAAAACAACAGAAGGUAAUGUGAACAAGGGUAAAUCAAGAAUUCCCUCUGCAUUUUAGCAGGCUACUAAUUGAGACGGUGUUAAAAUUGACAUGAGUCAAUAGCACUGCAGUGACCAUCAAAAACAAGUCUCAGCAGAAACAUCAGGUCAGAUAUGGGGUUGUAUAUUUUGGGGCGAAAGAAGGAUUCACCUUCCUUCACGUGAAUCCUCUGUUAGAUUUUGCAACGGUUGCUUUGAGAGCUGUGCUGAUGGAUGAAUGAAAGAAUUUGAAAGGUUUUGAUAUAUGUGCAAGGAGCUAUCCAAUGGUUGAUGUUGCAAAAAAAAUUAAUCAUUCUUUCGUGCGAAAGAUACAUUCUGAACCCUAUAGAUUGGCCAAAAGAUGAGAUGAAGAAAGCAGUAGCAACAGAAGGAAGCCAAGGAGUGGCUGAGGGCCUACCAUUGCCAUAAGAGACUGGUGAAGGAGCAGGGCUUGAAACGUCCAUGAUUGCAGCACCUCUACAAACCAGUAAAACAGAGCACAAAAGGCUAUGGUGAUGACAAACAGGGAUCAUAUCACUGCCAAUUUUUAAACAAGAAAAUAAUCAGAAGAACAUGGGAAAAGCAAGGAAAUGGAUACUCAAUUUGAAGUGAGUGAACAGAGUUCCAAAUUCAAUCUCAUGGAUAUAUAUAUAAUCUAUGGAAAGCCAUAUUCGAUGAAAGUGAGGGAGGUCUUUCAUAUGCUUCGAGAUCCACCUCACAAUAUAGGGUCAAAAAGCCAACAUAAGUGAUUCAUUUUUAGCCCUCAACAAGAGGGAGGCAUCUAUAUUCACAUUUUUAGCCUA
This is a non-coding RNA of Phoenix dactylifera (date palm), 2080 nucleotides long. NCBI's taxonomy places the organism in Eukaryota, Viridiplantae, Streptophyta, Magnoliopsida, Arecales, Arecaceae. The record is from RefSeq and is a predicted model, not a curated record.